Molecule: ribosomal RNA, 460 nt
Filed under: Myrmeleon hyalinus hyalinus
Lineage: Eukaryota; Metazoa; Arthropoda; Insecta; Neuroptera; Myrmeleontidae
Description: partial large subunit ribosomal RNA
Rfam family: Bacterial large subunit ribosomal RNA
Source: RNAcentral
GCCCACUGAAUUUUGAAGGGCCGCAGUAUUCUGACUGUGCAAAGGUAGCAUAAUCAUUUGCCUUUUAAUUAAAGGCUCGUAUGAAUGGUUGAACGAAAUACAAACUGUCUCACUUUAAAAAGUUUAAAAAUUUAGCUUUCAAGUUAAAAGGCUUGAAUAGGGUUAGAGGACGAGAAGACCCUAUAGAACUUUAUAAUAUUUUUUGUGAAUUUAUGUAGUAAAAUAUUUUUUAUCCAUAAAUAUUAUUAUUUUGUUGGGGUGACAGGAAAAUAAGCAAAACUUUUUUGAAUUUUGAACAUUAAUUUAUGAAUAUUUGAUCCAUUAUUAGUGAUUAUUAGAAUAAGUUACCUUAGGGAUAACAGCGUAAUUUUGUUGGAGAGUUCAAAUCGAUAACAAAGUUUGCGACCUCGAUGUUGAAUUAAAGAAAUUUUAGAGUGCAGAAGCUUUAAGUAAUAGGUCU